CCCGUCGGCUCAUGAUCAUGCUAGUCGAGCGACGGACGAGAAGCUUGCUUCUCUGAUGUUAGCGGCGGACGGGUGAGUAACACGUGGAUAACCUACCUAUAAGACUGGGAUAACUUCGGGAAACCGGAGCUAAUACCGGAUAAUAUUUUGAACCGCAUGGUUCAAAAGUGAAAGACGGUCUUGCUGUCACUUAUAGAUGGAUCCGCGCUGCAUUAGCUAGUUGGUAAGGUAACGGCUUACCAAGGCAACGAUGCAUAGCCGACCUGAGAGGGUGAUCGGCCACACUGGAACUGAGACACGGUCCAGACUCCUACGGGAGGCAGCAGUAGGGAAUCUUCCGCAAUGGGCGAAAGCCUGACGGAGCAACGCCGCGUGAGUGAUGAAGGUCUUCGGAUCGUAAAACUCUGUUAUUAGGGAAGAACAUAUGUGUAAGUAACUGUGCACAUCUUGACGGUACCUAAUCAGAAAGCCACGGCUAACUACGUGCCAGCAGCCGCGGUAAUACGUAGGUGGCAAGCGUUAUCCGGAAUUAUUGGGCGUAAAGCGCGCGUAGGGCGGUUUUUUUAAGUCUGAUGUGAAAGCCCCACGGCU
Molecule: ribosomal RNA, 591 nt
Filed under: Staphylococcus aureus
Lineage: Bacteria; Bacillati; Bacillota; Bacilli; Caryophanales; Staphylococcaceae
Description: bacterial SSU rRNA
Rfam family: Bacterial small subunit ribosomal RNA
Source: RNAcentral